UAGUAGUUUCCACUUUUGUCUAGGUCUCCUCAAGACUUAAUCUGUCGGGAAUUUUAUGUACCCAUGGUCGGCUUCAUCUGUCUUCCAGACAGAGUGAUAAAAAGUGGAAUCACAGCUAAUGGAGUCCCAUGCAGGUUGCUCUGCUCACAGGAAGACAUUAGGAGGAGAGUGGAUCACUUAAUCUUUCAUCGAGUGGGAAAUCUGAAAGACAGACUUCUAUUCUGACUCCACAGCUGGCUGGAAGCCCCAGAAUGAAUAUACAAACGGACAAUGUCUAAACAUCACAUGGAAAGAGAUUGCUGACCUACAACCUCUGCAGCAACCAGCCACGAAGCCAG
Molecule: long non-coding RNA, 338 nt
Filed under: Cercocebus atys (sooty mangabey)
Lineage: Eukaryota; Metazoa; Chordata; Mammalia; Primates; Cercopithecidae
Description: lncRNA (ENSCATG00000045875.1)
Source: RNAcentral